RNAcentral lists this ribosomal RNA (427 nucleotides) under uncultured bacterium. RNAcentral describes it as "partial 16S ribosomal RNA". It matches the Rfam family "Bacterial small subunit ribosomal RNA", at positions 355 to 774 of the family's 1533-position model. The record is from RNAcentral.
UAGGGAAUCUUCCGCAAUGGGCGAAAGCCUGACGGAGCAACGCCGCGUGAGUGAAGAAGGUCUUCGGAUCGUAAAACUCUGUUAUUAGGGAAGAACAAAUGUGUAAGUAACUAUGCACGUCUUGACGGUACCUAAUCAGAAAGCCACGGCUAACUACGUGCCAGCAGCCGCGGUAAUACGUAGGAGGCAAGCGUUAUCCGGAAUUAUUGGGCGUAAAGCGCGCGUAGGCGGUUUUUUAAGUCUGAUGUGAAAGCCCACGGCUCAACCGUGGAGGGUCAUUGGAAACUGGAAAACUUGAGUGCAGAAGAGGAAAGUGGAAUUCCAUGUGUAGCGGUGAAAUGCGCAGAGAUAUGGAGGAACACCAGUGGCGAAGGCGACUUUCUGGUCUGUAACUGACGCUGAUGUGCGAAAGCGUGGGGAUCAAACA